This 352-nucleotide long non-coding RNA is filed under the name Gossypium raimondii (Peruvian cotton). RNAcentral's name for it is "long non-coding RNA (GRAI_LNC001109)". Lineage: Eukaryota; Viridiplantae; Streptophyta; Magnoliopsida; Malvales; Malvaceae. The record is from RNAcentral.
AAACUCUCAAAAUAUAUUUUUGAUUAAAAUCAAAAUUAUAACCUUUCAAAGUUACAAAAUGAAAAAUAUUUGUAAACUAUCCUAAGUAGACAAAUGGUCAAAUUCGGCCAUAAAUGUUGUACAUGAAUCAAGUUGUACAUGAAUGUAAAUUCCUACGUUCCAUGUAUGACCGAAUGGUCAUGUUCAUCUUCUCUUGCGGUGCAUUCCCCAUUGACAACUUCUUGGUGUUCAUGAAUGAAUGAAAGGUCAAACAUCUCCCUUGGACGUGCAUUGUAACACCCCAUACCCGGCCUGGAUGCCGGGGUGAAUAUCGAGAUGCCGCACCAUCGUCUCAUGUCACCCCAUACCCGGC